CCUACGGGAGGCAGCAGUAGGGAAUAUUGCGCAAUGGGCGAACCCCUGACACAGCAACGCCGCGUGCGGGAUGGAGGCCCUCGGGUUGUAAACCGCUUUCAGUAGGGAAGAAAAUGACGGUACCUACAGAAGAAGCCCCGGCCAACUACGUGCCAGCAGCCGCGGGUAAU
RNAcentral lists this ribosomal RNA (170 nucleotides) under uncultured bacterium. RNAcentral describes it as "partial 16S ribosomal RNA". It matches the Rfam family "Bacterial small subunit ribosomal RNA", at positions 338 to 524 of the family's 1533-position model. The record is from RNAcentral.